GAUGAACGCUAGCUACAGGCUUAACACAUGCAAGUCGAGGGGAAACGACAUCGAAAGCUUGCUUUUGAUGGGCGUCGACCGGCGCACGGGUGAGUAACGCGUAUCCAACCUGCCCACCACUUGGGGAUAACCUUGCGAAAGUAAGACUAAUACCCAAUGACGUCUCUAGAAGACAUCUGAAAGAGAUUAAAGAUUUAUCGGUGAUGGAUGGGGAUGCGUCUGAUUAGCUUGUUGGCGGGGUAACGGCCCACCAAGGCGACGAUCAGUAGGGGAUCUGAGAGGAAGGUCCCCCACAUUGGAACUGAGACACGGUCCAAACUGCUACGGGAGGCAGCAGUGAGGAAUAUUGGUCAAUGGACGAGAGUCUGAACCAGCCAAGUAGCGUGCAGGAUGACGGCCCUAUGGGUUGUAAACUGCUUUUAUAAGGGAAUAAAGUGAGUCUCGUGAGACUUUUUGCAUGUACCUUAUGAAUAAGGACCGGCUAAUUCCGUG
Molecule: ribosomal RNA, 492 nt
Filed under: uncultured bacterium
Lineage: Bacteria
Description: partial 16S ribosomal RNA
Rfam family: Bacterial small subunit ribosomal RNA
Source: RNAcentral